AUCCAGUUGACGAGUUCAAAAUAAGACGAAACCAGUGUCCUGGAU
This 45-nucleotide non-coding RNA is filed under the name Schistosoma curassoni. The record is from RNAcentral. Lineage: Eukaryota; Metazoa; Platyhelminthes; Trematoda; Strigeidida; Schistosomatidae.